Molecule: long non-coding RNA, 338 nt
Filed under: Eucalyptus grandis
Lineage: Eukaryota; Viridiplantae; Streptophyta; Magnoliopsida; Myrtales; Myrtaceae
Description: long non-coding RNA (EGRA_LNC002062)
Source: RNAcentral
AGCCCAUCUACGUGGCCAUCAAGGGCCGGGUCUUCGACGUCACCGCCGGCAAGUCCUUCUACGGCCCCGGCGGGGCCUACGCCGCGUUCUCCGGCAAGGACGCCAGCCGGGCCCUCGCCAAGAUGAGCAAGAACGACGAGGACGUCUCCGCUUCCCUCGACGGCCUCUCCGACAAGGAGAUGGGCGUCCUCGACGACUGGGAGAAGAAGUUCGAGGCCAAGUACCCGGUUGUCGGCCGCGUCGUCGCCUCCUCUUGAAAGGCCCUUGAAAAUCUCUACUCGAUAUUAGAUGCUGAUGCUCGUUAUGUAUACUUAGUCUCUCUGUCUUGUCUUGUUGUU